AUGAGGAGUCCGCCAGAAGUUUGCUGUCAAGAUCGAGGAGGUUGUUCAGUUCAGCUAUUUUAGUGCGCAGGGGGAAGCCAAAUUAUGUUCCUGAGGUUGAAGUGGUCUGUCACCCCUUCACAGAUCAUCACACAAUGUGCUGUUGUAAGACAUGUUGCUGAAAGUGAAAUACCUCAAUGUAAAGAAGUACAUUAAAUUGCACGCAGGAUUCACUUAUCUAGAAUUCAUCAGUGAAGCCAAAACCAAGUUUGGACUUCCGGAUGCUGCUGACCUUGAUAUUUUCGAUGAAACUGACACAGCUGUCGAAGAAGACAUUUUUCUGGAGUUACUGGAGGCCCAACCAGACCUAUGCCUGACAAUACGUGAAAAGAUUUCAGAUG
This is a long non-coding RNA of Oreochromis aureus, 380 nucleotides long. The record is from Ensembl. Lineage: Eukaryota; Metazoa; Chordata; Actinopteri; Cichliformes; Cichlidae.